RNAcentral lists this ribosomal RNA (593 nucleotides) under uncultured bacterium. RNAcentral describes it as "bacterial SSU rRNA". It matches the Rfam family "Bacterial small subunit ribosomal RNA", at positions 338 to 916 of the family's 1533-position model. The record is from RNAcentral.
CCUACGGGAGGCAGCAGUAGGGAAUCUUCCGCAAUGGACGAAAGUCUGACGGAGCAACGCCGCGUGAACGAUGAAGGCCUUCGGGUCGUAAAGUUCUGUUGUUAGGGAAGAACAAGUGCUAGUUGAAUAAGCUGGCACCUUGACGGUACCUAACCAGAAAGCCACAGCUAACUACGUGCCAGCAGCCGCGGUAAUACGUAGGUGGCAAGCGUUGUCCGGAAUUAUUGGGCGUAAAGCGCGCGCAGGCGGUUUCUUAAGUCUGAUGUGAAAGCCCCCGGCUCAACCGGGGAGGGUCAUUGGAAACUGGGAAACUUGAGUGCAGAAGAGGAAAGUGGAAUUCCAAGUGUAGCGGUGAAAUGCGUAGAGAUUUGGAGGAACACCAGUGGCGAAGGCGACUUUCUGGUCUGUAACUGACGCUGAGGCGCGAAAGCGUGGGGAGCAAACAGGAUUAGAUACCCUGGUAGUCCACGCUGUAAACGAUGAGUGCUAAGUGUUAGAGGGUUUCCGCCCUUUAGUGCUGAAGUUAACGCAUUAAGCACUCCGCCUGGGGGAGUACGGUCGACAAGACUAGAAACUANAAAGUGAAUUGACGG